CAGGACAUGCAGUCGCCGCCGGUUUCAUACCGGCGGAGGAAAGUCCGGGCUUCACAGGGCAGGAUGCCGGAUAACGUCCGGUGGAGGCAACUCCAAGGCAGGUGCAACAGAAAUAAACCGCCCGCGGUCCGCGGGUAAGGGUGGAAAGGCAGUGCAAGAGACUACCGCCCGGCCGGCAACGUCCGGGGCACAUGUAAACCCCAUCUGAAGCAAGGCAAUGCAAAGCAUAUACGGUGGCCCGCCGUGCUUUGCGGUGGCCGCAGUGAGCCUUCCGGUGACGGAAGGCCAAGAUAGAUGACUGCACGCGACAGAACCCGGCUUACCGUCCUGCCUG
RNAcentral lists this RNase P RNA (334 nucleotides) under bovine gut metagenome. Its description in RNAcentral is "Bacterial RNase P class A". It matches the Rfam family "Bacterial RNase P class A". From Rfam's summary of the family: Ribonuclease P (RNase P) is a ubiquitous endoribonuclease, found in archaea, bacteria and eukarya as well as chloroplasts and mitochondria. Its best characterised activity is the generation of mature 5'-ends of tRNAs by cleaving the 5'-leader elements of precursor-tRNAs. The record is from RNAcentral.